CAUAAACUCAGAUCAUCGGCAAGAGUUUGAAGAACAAAGUUUGGGUGAAUGAAUUCAGGUACGGAGGCUUCUCAUUGGGCGCCCGGAGCACGCAGGUCCUUCCACCAGCCAACGAGGUCGACGACGCCAUCGAGCGAGUCCGAAAGAUCUUUGAGUUAC
Plectropomus leopardus (leopard coralgrouper) is the source of this 159-nucleotide non-coding RNA. The record is from RefSeq and is a predicted model, not a curated record. NCBI's taxonomy places the organism in Eukaryota, Metazoa, Chordata, Actinopteri, Perciformes, Serranidae.